UUUAUCGUCAUCGUCAACUCUGAAUGUUGUCACAUACUCACAUGAGCAUGAAAGCGAGUGAUUACAACGAGUCAACAAAGGAGGAGAAUUCGAACUCAUUUGUCCACCGUAGUGAUCAGUCACCCACCGGCACAGUACUGCACCAGCAGAGCCGUCCCUGCCAUAAAGUCAGUGAGACAAGAGCUUUAGUCCACAACUUUUCUUACAGUUUUUUGAGGCCACAUUUUUGAAAUAUGAUUAUGUUCAAGUGGUUAAAAAACUAUUUUCACUUUUUGUCUGAGUUGGAGUUUGCACCUUCAAUGGUUUAUGUUGGCUUAUAAUGUUUCCUUUUUCUUUUUUAUGCUUGUUCCUCUUUUAGUUUGAAUCAUUUAUUUGUUAUCUAUGUGUUUCUAUUUUUUUCUAUGUUACUUAGUAUUACAAAUAAUGAUAGUUCAAACAAACUAGUGGUUUCUAUUUUAUUAACAUAUCUACUAAUUAUCUGAUAUUAAGAUGACAUAAGUACAUAAUAACUAAUCUACUAUAUCAUUUUAUAUUUCAAAUAGAAAAUAUAAUAUAUCGUAAAUACGCCCAAAGCGGCCGCCUAUACAGUCACUAUACGCUAUGCGCCCUUGCAACGUAGCGAAAUCAUCAAAUACGGCUUAUAAUGCGGUUUGUUAGAAAAUGGAUGUAUACACGGCGAAUAGUGCGCACAAACGGUGCCCUCUAUACGUUUACAUUUUUUUUUGCUCUGAACAUGUUUGUUUUGUUUAAAUAUUAUAAUAGUUCAAGUCUAUUUGUUGGUAUGUAGUCUCAUUAGGAGUGUUCAAUGCUUUAAUAGUCAUUGCUAAGUGAACUUUUUAUAGUUUAUUUAUAGUGUGAAUUAUAAUAGUUGCUAAAUACGAUCAGUUAUUUUUUUACUACACAUUUAUUUUUCCAAAAACUGCAAAAAAUCAUUCAAGAGAUUUUGGUAUGGCUGGAUCAUCUGCAAAUUCAAUUAUGAACCAAGCAGGAUCUUUCAAAAAUUUUAGUAUUGAAAACCUUAUAUUCUUUUAGUAUUAAUAUUAUUUUUAUGUUCACAUUAAUCAUCAAUAAAUUAUAUAUAUAUACAUGGAUAUAUAUUAUAUCUGUUUAGGUCCGUUUAGGCGUCCGCAUAUACAGCUAGGAGAACGUAUAACACUGAUAUCUAUUUAUAUUGUAUAAAUAUAUGAUAUUGUAUAUAAAUAUAUUUCAGGCCACCAAAUUUACGGGGAUGACACUGUGCACCAGCGUACCACAAUUUGAAAUUUAGGGCCGUAUAUAUGAUCGCUAUUGUGCAGCGGGAAAAAUUAUUGAGAAAAAUUAGGGUUUGUAUCAUAUCGUGACGCAAGUAAUCUAUUUUUAAUCAGUUAAUAACAGAUCUGUAAAAAAAAAUUUUGCUUAAAACAGAUCUGUAAACUUGUGAACUCAUGAAGAGAUGAUCAGGAUCCCGAGGGAGCGUAUACACAGCUUGCUUGUCUACAAGAACGAUCAAAGAAAAAGGAUGAGUUUAAAAAGCCUUUAAUUUGUCAAAAGAAGAGAGAGGAGGACUAGUCAAGGAAUCAGAGAGGCGCCGCAUGACACGAGUUUAGAAAUCGAAAGAUUGAUUAGCCAAAACAUAACCAGUAGGAUGCACUCAUCAGGUUGGACAGAGGUUGUUCCUUAAGUUUCACAACAGAUUCUUGUGCUUGUUUACCAUCUUAUGAACAAUUUUCUUAAAUCCUUAAUUAGUUUUUUGUUAGAUCGUUGAUUACACUACCAUUUGGACAACGUUAAUUAUCUCUUCCAUGUUUAGAUCUUUCUUUGAAGCAGAGGACUAUAUAUAUUGCAAUGACUAAAGACCAGUUAAUUAGCAAAGUUUGUUGUUUGUCGUUAAUUUACAAGAAUCCCUUUAUAUACUUUGUAGUUGACGUUAAGUAAAGACAAGAAAUGAUUCAGAGUUACACGCAGGAGGAAUGUUAUUUUGUGGUGAUGGGAAUGUACUGCCCUUUUCAUGAUACUAAUAGGAAAGUCAUGGACCAAGUGAUCCUAAUAGCGAUGUGAUUCACAAUUUUUGAUUCAUAAUGACUCAAUAUCCCUUUUAAUAGUGAUGCCCACUUAUACCAUCUUAAUAUAUUGUUAAAAUUACGAGUUUUUACGGGGAUACUGUUGAUUUCAAACUUUUGAUAUCUCUAGAUACAUUUAGCAAUUCAUUUUAGAAAACAGUUCGAGGAGUACCCUCACGGCCUCACCUCAUAAACAUACCUUUGAUAUCACGCUUUAAAGAUGAUUUAUUUGAGAUUUUCUCGGACAUAACCAAAGCGGUUCAUGAAAUGAUCCAGCUUUUGGAGGCCGUAAUGUCAUUACAUGCAUAGAUUGAUAAAAGAGAGAAACUUUAAAGAGUGAUAAUACUUGCAAAAUAACCAGGGCCCAUGCGAGUUUUCAGAGUCUUCACCAAUCGAUACCAAGGUUCUUGGAGAGGAAGAGUUUGUCGAGAUAUGCAAUUACUGGUGUCGAUGCAGUAACAUAGCUUUGCAGAUGUACAUUAAUCGUUUCCUCUGGAAACAUUUCAUAAAGAGUAAAACAAUCGUCAGAGAAUUUGUAUCUUUCGAAAAUAUAUUGAAGAAACAAGUAGGCUUUUGUUCUACUAUAGAUAAUAGAUAUAGCACGUAAACUUUGUAAAUGAAAUCAAACUGCCUCAAUUACCAACAUAACACAGAGAAUAUACAAUAUCAUGUUGUACUUCAUCACUUGCAUCUCAAAAUAAUUUGAAAAAUCGACAGUCGUUAUAGAGUGGUUCAUAUCCUGUAUAUACAUAUUAUUUGAGGUAUUUCGUAUUUUUAUCAACAACAUGCAUUUACUAAUUUGUGAGUAGGUUCUAUCUGGAUGGUAACACACUAACAGUCAUAUAGUAAAACCACUACAUAUGCUACAUUACUGAGUAAAAUGCUUCGUGACACAUACUUAUGUUAGUUUAAGUCCCUAGUUUCAAUGGACUUUCAUCACAGUGACUUCCAUGUUUGUUUUCGAUGUCAGAUAAUCCUAGCGCGACUUCUAGUUCUAGAGAUAAUACAGAUUUUCGUUCAAAAAAAAAAUCGUUCAAAAAAAAAAAAGAGAAUACAUAUUUUAGUCUAGUCUAAUAAAUUAUAUUUUUGAAUCAACCGAAGAUCAUGUUAACUAGAAUUGACUUUCAUUAUAAAACCAUUUGAUUAUAAUAAUAGUAUAACUACCAUGUCUCAUUUGAUUUCCGAGAUGUGAUUCCAUUAAUUAGGAAAAAAAAUCAUGUACUCACCAGCUUCACCGAGCAGGAGUAGCACCAAAGACUUCGAGGGGAGAGAGUUCAGCCCAGUAGCACAAGCUUUCUGAAUAUUAUACUGAUGGUGAGGAAAAAGCACUUGAUUGUAAGCCUUAGUCGCUGCAUCCUUUAGAGAGUCAUCACCUCUGUGAAUCAUAUAAUAUUCGAAAACGAUUUAACCCCCAAUAAAAUUACAACAAGCCAUGGACAAACUGAUACAAGUAAUUAAAACUCGGGUAUCUUGUAUGGCUAUAUAUAUAUAUAUAUAUGUGUGUGUGUGUAUAUGAAUAUAUCUGUUUGGUUGUGUUAACAUUUUGUGAGAGAGCCUAAUAAAAGAAGACUUACUCAGUAGCCAAUAACUCUUCGCAAAGAACCUUGAUCAUUUCAAGACCCUGCUUUACCUUCAAAAGGUUUCUUGUAUGGCUACCAUAUUUCUUUACACAGCCUGCCUCAAUGUCUUUGUCAAUCAUUUCCUCUAAUGUCGAUAUUGAACGCGAAGCCGCGGCAAGAUCAUUGAGCUGGAAAAAUAAGUUUGUUUCUCAACGCUUCAUAUAUAAACAAAAACUCAUUUAUAAAUCUUCAUAAUUUUUCUUUUUUUGCUAAAUCUUCAUGAUUGUUUGUUACAUGGAUUAUAUAUCUGUUUCUAAAUUUAUUGGAAGUUACAUGGUACCCGGUAGGCCUGAAACUUUUAUCCGAGAUCCGGAUUUUAUCCGAAAUUUGAGUCGAAUCCGGAUUCGAUCCGAGAUUUGAGCCGAAUCGGAUCCGGAUAGUAAAAUGUUGGAUCCGUCAAAGCCGGAUCCGGAUAUCUUGAUUUUUUAGUCUAGAUAUCUGGAUUCUUAAGUUUUAUUAAUAACUGUUUCAAAAAUAGUAAUAUCUAUAUAUAAAAACUAACUUUGUUUAAUAUAUUUUCAUUUUUAUAAUAGUAUAUGUAAAUUUUAUGUAAAUUUUGUAAUAUUAUACAUAGAAAUAAUUAAAAAUAUUAUAUAUUUUUUAUUUUAAAAUUAUUUUUAAUAUUUUAUAUAUAUAUUAAUAUUAUUUUUAUUUAUUUUAAGAAUCCAAAUCCGGAUCCGGAUAUCCGCCGGAUAUUACAAUUUCUAGAAAGAUAAUCGACACCCGGAUAUCCGAGAACCUCAGAUCUGGAUAAGGAUAGUAAAAUUAUGGAUCCGCCGGAUAAAGAUCCGAAUCCGGAUACCUUAAAAUUGUCCGGAUACCCGAUCCGUCCCAGGCCUAGUAACCGGGGGUAUUAUUUUUUCCCCAUGAUAGUUGACUAAAAUUAUCAAAAUACUCACUUAAACUAAACAUGGGUUACAAGAAUUUGGUUACAUGCCCCAUACAAAUUACAAUCUUGCGUACGCCCCUGAUGGUACCUGGUCAGAGUUACAUGGUAUAUAAUCUUCUAAUCCCUCUAAAAACACUCAAAAUAUCGAGAAAGUAAAAGAGAGGAUAGUCUAUGUACCAAAUCUCUUAUCAAAAAUCAAGUCCAUGGUCAUUAGAAAAAUACUGUACUUAUUUAUAACCAUGUACUAAAAUAUAUUGUUGAUGAGCACGGACCAGUAUCCUAGAGUUUUGGAAUGUUUAUCUUUAGACAAGGACAGUGGAUCCGUAAACCAUCCGGUUCUAUUUCCUGGAUCCAAAUAACCUAUAGUGAUCUAGGAGGUGUUUGGUUGGAAUUUAACUUACAAUUUGUACUAUAAGUUUAGUGCGUAUAAUUUUUUUUAUUGUUAUAGAUGUAUAUGCUGUAACUGUAAAAAACUUAAUGAAAAAUAAAGAUAGUAGACAUAUAUUCUUACAGAAAUAUAUUUUUCCUACAGCAUAAAAUAUUACUUUAGGAAAUAGAGAUUUACAACUAUUUUUUUGUUGUUGUUGUAUUUUUAGAAAUUGACUUAAAGCAUGAUUAAUCAUUUAAAAUGUUGUAAAUAAAAACUAAAGUUAAAAAAUAAUUUAUAUAGUCUAACCAAUCACCCCGUUGAUCUCGAAUAACCAUUCCAAUCCGCAAACAAUAGCUAAAAAUAAUUAUUUUUAAUAUUAAAAUAAAAGAAAAUAUCCUAUCAUUAUUUAAAAAAAAAACUCAAACUGAUUUUAACAUUUUUGGGACAUAUUUAGUUUAAAAUUCUAAAACACUCCCUAGAUUUCUAAUAACCAAGUAUAUUUGGAUCCUCAAAAAUAUCUAAAAUUAUUUAAAUUAACGAUGUAUAAUAUUAAAAUAAAAAUAUUAUCAAAUCAUUAUUUGAAAAAAUCAUAACUGAUUUAACCAUUGUGGGACAUAAUUAGUUUGGACAUUCUAAAAACUCUAUUUAAAAAAAAUAACUAUUUUAUCUAGAUAUCAUAUAUUUUUUCGUCAGAAAGAGAAAAAAUCUGAUAGAGUAGAAGUGUGAUAGUGCAAGGAUAAUGUGAAAUUCCUAGAAUUCCAGCUAAUCAAGAACAAAUUAGUUUAAUGGUUAAUACCUUAGGAUUAAUUAAUAGAAAAUUUUGAAGUUAAAUGAUCUGGUCUGAGUUUCAUUCUAAGAAGAUGUAUGAACUUAUAGAUCCAGAAUCUUCUAAUCACUAUAAUAAAAUUAUCAAUAUGCCCAAAAGGAAAGGAAAGAAGAUAAUAUCUGUACCAAAGCCCUUAUCAAAAAUCAAAUUCAUGGUGUUUGAAAGAACAACGUUCUUAUUUAUAACUAUGUACUAAAAUAUAGUGGUGACUGGUGAGCAUAGACCAGAAUCCUGGAAUUUCAGAAUGUUUAUCUCUAGAUAUGGACCUUCAGAUCCGUAAACUAACCAUCCGUUUUUAUUUUCCUGGAUCCAAAAACAAAUAACGUGAUCUAGAUCUCUGAUAACCUGGUAUAUUCAGAAUUCACAAAUAAUAGCUAGUAAUUUAAAUAAUUUAAUAUUAAAAAUACCGAAUCAUAAAGAUAAUAUUAUUAGAAAUUUUUUUUAACUAAUUUUAACAUUUUGGGACAUAAGUAGUAUGGACAUUGUAAAACCCCUAUUUAAAAAGAAAUUUACUAUUUCAUUUAGAUCCUAUAUAAUUUGUCCAAAACUGAGUAGGAAAACUAAACCAACUAAACGUCAAAAAAAAAAAAAAAAACUAAA
Long non-coding RNA from Brassica rapa (field mustard), 6343 nucleotides. RefSeq lists it as uncharacterized. The record is from RefSeq and is a predicted model, not a curated record. NCBI's taxonomy places the organism in Eukaryota, Viridiplantae, Streptophyta, Magnoliopsida, Brassicales, Brassicaceae.